RNAcentral lists this ribosomal RNA (253 nucleotides) under uncultured bacterium. RNAcentral's name for it is "partial 16S ribosomal RNA". It matches the Rfam family "Bacterial small subunit ribosomal RNA", at positions 524 to 776 of the family's 1533-position model. The record is from RNAcentral.
UACGUAGGGUGCGAGCGUUGUUCGGAAUUACUGGGCGUAAAGGGCUCGUAGGUGGCCAACUAAGUCAGACGUGAAAUCCCUCGGCUUAACCGGGGAACUGCGUCUGAUACUGGAUGGCUUGAGAUUGGGAGAGGGAUGCGGAAUUCCAGGUGUAGCGGUGAAAUGCGUAGAUAUCUGGAGGAACACCGGUGGCGAAGGCGGCAUCCUGGACCAACACUGACACUGAGGAGCGAAAGCCAGGGGAGCAAACGGG